This 945-nucleotide long non-coding RNA is filed under the name Hordeum vulgare. RNAcentral's name for it is "long non-coding RNA (HVUL_LNC018754)". Lineage: Eukaryota; Viridiplantae; Streptophyta; Magnoliopsida; Poales; Poaceae. The record is from RNAcentral.
AUUAAUAUUAUUUGAGUAAAACCCUGAAAACCAUUUCUGUCUGUUUUAGCUUUUUGAGAUGUUUCCAAAGGAAAUAAUCUCAAUAAAUUCCCAUAAAAUUACAGGAGCCCUCCCAAGCCAUAUUAGGUGCUCACAUAAAAUCUCACCUUGAUCCAAGGUGGGGAAGUGCACCUCAUGAGCCCAAAACCCUCUCUGUCCAGAGAAGAGUUGGAACAAGUCUACAUUGCAAAGUUUCUCCAAUGGAGCUGAAACUUUGAAGAGGUGUUUGACACCCCAAAUGAAGACUCCACACCAAAGAUGAGAUUUGUGAGACUCUGAUUGGCCACACUUCCUUUGUAAAGGACAGUACUGGUCAUUUUGGAGCAUUUCCAAGUUUACAAAGCUAAACUUGUUCAAUGGACCUCAAAUUUGGUGGAACCCCAUGUUUUUACCCCAAGACCAAACCUGUUAAGUGUCAGUUCCAGUGGUGGAGUGGAAUCACUCCAAAUCACUGUCGAACACCUUCUGGCAGGAAGGUAAAAACCCUCCUAGCCACUGUUUUACCCAAUGUCAAAGCCCCAAACUUGGUGAGUUAGAGCCCCAGAACACCCUGAGCACUCAGUCAACCAGCCCCUCCCCAACUCCAAGCACAAGUGACAAGAUCUUCAAUUUGAGCCGCAUGCUAGGACUGGCAACGUUGGUGUUCCUUGCCUCCUUUCACCAGCUCGUGCUCCCACUAGCACACAACGGCUAGUCACACUCCCAGCAACACUCAGGACAUGGAGGACACGUCCAAAGUGCCCCAGAGCGCACCAGCAUGCCGUGGCAUGCCAAAACCGCGCUCUGUACGCGCUACAGAGAACCUCCAGCAAGGGGACGUCGCCCCCGGCCAGUUCCAACCUCCCCAGUAGUGUCCAAACACUCCCCCGACAGCCACUCAUUGCAAAGCUACCAUCAGGGGCGCCC